CCCUUAGAUGUUCUGGGCCGCACGCGCGCUACACUGACGGGGACAACGAGUUUGCAACCUGCGCCGGUAGGUGUGGGUAAUCUUUUGAGCCCUCGUCGUGCUGGGGCUAGAUCUUUGUAAUUUUCGAUCUCAAACGAGGAAUUCCUAGUAAGCGUGAUUCAUCAGAUCGCGUUGAUUACGUCCCUGCCCUUUGUACACACCGCCCGUCGCUACUACCGAUUGAAUGGUUUAGUGAGGUACUCGGACUGAGCCUCAGAAGAUUCACGUCUUUUGUGCUGCUCGGGAAGAUUCCCAAACUUGAGCGUUUAGAGGAAGUAAAAGUCGUAACA
This 329-nucleotide ribosomal RNA is filed under the name uncultured eukaryote. Its description in RNAcentral is "partial 18S ribosomal RNA". It matches the Rfam family "Eukaryotic small subunit ribosomal RNA", at positions 1470 to 1796 of the family's 1831-position model. The record is from RNAcentral.